AAUAUUGGACAAUGGGGGCAACCCUGAUCCAGCCAUGCCGCGUGUGUGAAGAAGGUCUUCGGAUUGUAAAGCACUUUAAGUUGGGAGGAAGGGCUUUAGGUUAAUACCCUGAAGUUUGGACGUUACCGACAGAAUAAGCACCGGCUAACUCUGUGCCAGCAGCCGCGGUAAUACAGCGGGUGCAAGCGUUAAUCGGAAUUACUGGGCGUAAAGCGCGCGUAGGUGGUUCAGUAAAAUGGGGGUGAAAACCCCGGGCUUAACCUGGGAACUGCUUUCAUAACUGCUGAGGUAGAGUACGGUAAAGGGUAGUGGAAUUUCCUGUGUAGCGGUGAAAUGCGUAGAUAUAGGAAGGAACACCAGUGGCGAAGGCGACUACCUGGACUGAUACUGACACUGAGGUGCGAAAGCGUGGGGAGCAAAC
RNAcentral lists this ribosomal RNA (421 nucleotides) under uncultured bacterium. RNAcentral's name for it is "partial 16S ribosomal RNA". It matches the Rfam family "Bacterial small subunit ribosomal RNA", at positions 360 to 773 of the family's 1533-position model. The record is from RNAcentral.